CGUAGGCGGUUCGGUAAGUGGGAUGUGAAAGCCCCGGGCUCAACCUGGGAAUUGCAUUCCAAACUGCCGAGCUAGAGUAUGGUAGAGGGAGGUAGAAUUUCCUGUGUAGCGGUGAAAUGCGUAGAUAUAGGAAGGAAUACCAGUGGCGAAGGCGGCCUCCUGGACCAAUACUGACGCUGAGGUGCGAAAGCGUGGGGAGCAAACA
Molecule: ribosomal RNA, 205 nt
Filed under: uncultured bacterium
Lineage: Bacteria
Description: partial 16S ribosomal RNA
Rfam family: Bacterial small subunit ribosomal RNA
Source: RNAcentral